Molecule: transfer RNA, 88 nt
Filed under: Candidatus Saccharibacteria bacterium oral taxon 488
Lineage: Bacteria; Candidatus Saccharimonadota
Also listed under: 2 other names
Description: tRNA-Leu
Rfam family: tRNA
About the family: Transfer RNA (tRNA) molecules are approximately 80 nucleotides in length. Their secondary structure includes four short double-helical elements and three loops (D, anti-codon, and T loops). Further hydrogen bonds mediate the characteristic L-shaped molecular structure. tRNAs have two regions of fundamental functional importance: the anti-codon, which is responsible for specific mRNA codon recognition, and the 3' end, to which the tRNAs corresponding amino acid is attached (by aminoacyl-tRNA synthetases). tRNAs cope with the degeneracy of the genetic code in two manners: having more than one tRNA (with a specific anti-codon) for a particular amino acid; and 'wobble' base-pairing, i.e. permitting non-standard base-pairing at the 3rd anti-codon position.
Source: RNAcentral
GCGGGCGUGGCGGAAUUGGUAGACGCGCUAGCUUGAGGGGCUAGUGAGCAUUACGCUCGUGGAAGUUCAAGUCUUCUCGCUCGCACCA